GGGGAUGUUUUGGCUUCGACGGGGGUAAGUGAGAUUUGGUAAGCGGGCCGAGGGAAGCAUGGUGCCUCGAUAAUAAAGUAUGCAUUAAAUAUAAACGCAGAAGACAAUUUUGCACUAGCAGCUUAAUAAACGCUGCUCAUCAGCCCCGGGUUGCCCACGACUUGGGAUGUCUGGUGUCAUUAUUAGUGGGGAACCGAGCUUAGCAAAGCUUUGAGCUAGGAACGGAACUUAUGAAGCUAGCGAACAUGAUGCCUGUCUGUAGGCCUUCAUGUAAGCGAAAUUUAAUAUACAGACUACGCUCGUAGAAAGCUGAAUUAAACUACUUUCGGACACGGGUUCGACACCCGUCAUCUCCACCA
This 359-nucleotide transfer-messenger RNA is filed under the name Clostridium sp. It matches the Rfam family "transfer-messenger RNA". Rfam says of the family: Bacterial tmRNA, also known as 10Sa RNA or SsrA, is named for its dual tRNA and mRNA-like properties. Its role is to liberate the mRNA from a stalled ribosome. The record is from RNAcentral. Lineage: Bacteria; Bacillati; Bacillota; Clostridia; Eubacteriales; Clostridiaceae.